GAUGAACGCUGGCGGCGUGCUUAACACGUGCAAGUCGAGCGAGAAGUUUUGAAAAGAUUCUUCGGAUGAAAUUUAAAAUGGAAAGCGGCGGACGGGUGAGUAACGCGUAGGCAACCUGCCCCAUACAAAGGGAUAGCAUUUGGAAACGAAUAUUAAUACCUUAUGAAACUUAACUAGUGCAUGCUAGGUAGGUCAAAGAUUUAUCGGUAUGGGAUGGGCCUGCGUCUGAUUAGCUAGUUGGUGAGGUAACGGCUCACCAAGGCGACGAUCAGUAGCCGACCUGAGAGGGUGAACGGCCACAUUGGAACUGAGACACGGUCCAAACUCCUACGGGAGGCAGCAGUGGGGAAUAUUGCACAAUGGGGGAAACCCUGAUGCAGCAACGCCGCGUGAACGAUGAAGGCCUUUGGGUCGUAAAGUUCUGUUCUAGGUGAUGAAAACUGACAGUAACCUAGGAGAAAGCCCCGGCUAACUCCGUGCCAGCAGCCGCGGUAAUACGGAGGGGGCAAGCGUUAUCCGGAAUUAUUGGGCGUAAAGGGUACGUAGGUGGCCUUUUAAGCGUAGGGUAUAAGGCAAUGGCUCAACCAUUGUUCGCCCUAUGAACUGGAAGGCUUGAGUGCAGGAGAGGAAAGCGGAAUUCCUAGUGUAGCGGUGGAAUGCAUAGAUAUUAGGAGGAACAUCAGCGGCGAAGGCGGCUUUCUGGACUGCAACUGACACUGAGGUACGAAAGCGUGGGGAGCAAACAGG
Molecule: ribosomal RNA, 747 nt
Filed under: uncultured bacterium
Lineage: Bacteria
Description: bacterial SSU rRNA
Rfam family: Bacterial small subunit ribosomal RNA
Source: RNAcentral